RNAcentral lists this transfer RNA (58 nucleotides) under Neotoma lepida (desert woodrat). It matches the Rfam family "tRNA", at positions 8 to 63 of the family's 71-position model. From Rfam's summary of the family: Transfer RNA (tRNA) molecules are approximately 80 nucleotides in length. Lineage: Eukaryota; Metazoa; Chordata; Mammalia; Rodentia; Cricetidae. The record is from Rfam by way of RNAcentral.
UAGCUCAGUGGUUAAGAGCACUGGGUGCUCUUCCAGAGGACCUGGGUUCAAUUCCCAG